This 505-nucleotide ribosomal RNA is filed under the name uncultured archaeon. RNAcentral's name for it is "bacterial SSU rRNA". It matches the Rfam family "Archaeal small subunit ribosomal RNA", at positions 62 to 567 of the family's 1478-position model. The record is from RNAcentral.
GGGCUCCUUCGGGAGCACCGGCGGACUGCUCAGUAACACGUGGACAACCUACCCUCGGGUGGGGGAUAACCUCGGGAAACUGAGGCUAAUACCCCAUAGGCCUCGGAUACUGGAAGGUUCCGAGACCGAAAGCUCCGGCGCCCGAGGAUGGGUCUGCGGCCUAUCAGGUAGUUGGUGGUGUAAAGGACCACCAAGCCUACGACGGGUACGGGCCCUGAGAGGGGGAGCCCGGAGAUGGACUCUGAGACACGAGUCCAGGCCCUACGGGGCGCAGCAGGCGCGAAACCUUCGCAAUGCGCGAAAGCGCGACGAGGGGAGCCCGAGUGCCCUUCCUUUCGGGAGGGCUUUUCUGGAGCCUAAAAAGCUCCAGGAAUAAGGGCUGGGCAAGACGGGUGCCAGCCGCCGCGGUAAUACCCGCAGCUCGAGUGGUGACCACUAUUAUUGAGCCUAAAGCGUCCGUAGCCGGACCCGUAAAUCCCUGGGUAAAUCCUGGCGCUCAACGUCA